AUCGCUUCUCGGCCUUUUGGCUAAGAUCAAGUGUAAUAUUUAAGUGUUCAUAAAUUUUAAAAAGUAAUACAAAUUGUAUUUAAAUUUAUUUAUUUAAAGGUGUCUUUAGGUAUAUCUGCAUUUAUCAUAUGUAUAUAAAUAUGCAGUGAUGUAUUUCUGCUCAUAGCUUAGACAUAUUUUCA
Callorhinus ursinus (northern fur seal) is the source of this 182-nucleotide small nuclear RNA. RefSeq annotates it as U2 spliceosomal RNA. Lineage: Eukaryota; Metazoa; Chordata; Mammalia; Carnivora; Otariidae. The record is from RefSeq and is a predicted model, not a curated record.